AUCGUAAAAAAAGCCAGGUAAAUCAUUUACCUGGCUUAGGGAAAAGGCUCAUUGCGAGCCGUGCGCUAAAAAGUGAUACUGAAUGAGAAAAUAGCGUGUAAAAAACUGCUUAUGCCACAUCUAUUUCACAACCUU
This 135-nucleotide small RNA is filed under the name Proteus mirabilis. The record is from RNAcentral. Lineage: Bacteria; Pseudomonadati; Pseudomonadota; Gammaproteobacteria; Enterobacterales; Morganellaceae.